UACGUAGGGUGCGAGCGUUAAUCGGAAUUACUGGGCGUAAAGCGGGCGCAGACGGUUACUUAAGCAGGAUGUGAAAUCCCCGGGCUCAACCUGGGAACUGCGUUCUGAACUGGGUGACUAGAGUGUGUCAGAGGGAGGUAGAAUUCCACGUGUAGCAGUGAAAUGCGUAGAGAUGUGGAGGAAUACCGAUGGCGAAGGCAGCCUCCUGGGAUAACACUGACGUUCAUGCCCGAAAGCGUGGGUAGCAAACAGGAUUAGAUACCCUGGUAGUCCACGCCCUAAACGAUGUCGAUUAGCUGUUGGGCAGCUUGACUGCUUAGUAGCGAAGCUAACGCGUGAAAUCGACCGCCUGGGGGGUACGGUCGCAAGGCUAAAACUC
This 379-nucleotide ribosomal RNA is filed under the name uncultured Neisseria sp. RNAcentral's name for it is "bacterial SSU rRNA". It matches the Rfam family "Bacterial small subunit ribosomal RNA", at positions 524 to 902 of the family's 1533-position model. Lineage: Bacteria; Pseudomonadati; Pseudomonadota; Betaproteobacteria; Neisseriales; Neisseriaceae. The record is from RNAcentral.